RNAcentral lists this ribosomal RNA (468 nucleotides) under uncultured bacterium. Its description in RNAcentral is "partial 16S ribosomal RNA". It matches the Rfam family "Bacterial small subunit ribosomal RNA", at positions 28 to 507 of the family's 1533-position model. The record is from RNAcentral.
GACGAACGCUGGCGGCGUGCUUAACACAUGCAAGUCGAACGGAAAGGCCCUGCUUUUGUGGGGUGCUCGAGUGGCGAACGGGUGAGUAACACGUGAGUAACCUGCCCUUGACUUUGGGAUAACUUCAGGAAACUGGAGCUAAUCCCGGAUAGGAGCUCCUGCUGCAUGGUGGGGUUUGGAAAGUUUCGGCGGUUGGGGAUGGACUCGCGGCUUAUCAGCUUGUUGGUGGGGUAGUGGUUUACCAAGGCUUUGACGGGUAGCCGGCCUGAGGGGGUGACCGGCCACAUUGGGACUGAGAUACGGCCCAGACUCCUACGGGAGGCAGCAGUGGGGAAUAUUGCACAAGGGGCGGAAGCCUGAUGCAGCAACGCCGCGGGCGGGAUGACGGCCUUCGGGUGGUAAACCGCUUUCGCCUGUGACGAAGCGUGAGUGACGGUAAUGGGUAAAGAAGCACCGGCUAACUACGUG